AUUCCAGCUCCAAUAGCGUAUAUUAAAGUUGUUGCAGUUAAAAAGCUCGUAGUUGGAUUUCUGACAGGGGGCCGAACACCACUGUAGUGAGUGUUUUGGUACCUGUCAUCCUUCUGUUAACCCUAGCGUCAUUCAUUUGUCGUUGGGCGGACCAGAUACUUUACCUUGAGAAAAUUAGAGUGUUUCAGGCAGGCCUAGCCGGAAUACAUUAGCAUGGAAUAAUGGAAUAGGACUAUAGUCUCGUCGUUGGUUACGUGGACUGCAGUAAUGAUUAAUAGGGAUAGUUGGGGGCAUUAGUAUUUAUUAGCUAGAGGUGGAAUUCUCUAAUUUGAUAAAGACUAACUUAUGCGAAAGCAUUUGCCAAGGAUGUUUUCAUCA
RNAcentral lists this ribosomal RNA (378 nucleotides) under Strombidiidae sp. RNAcentral describes it as "partial small subunit ribosomal RNA". It matches the Rfam family "Eukaryotic small subunit ribosomal RNA", at positions 582 to 975 of the family's 1831-position model. The record is from RNAcentral. Lineage: Eukaryota; Ciliophora; Spirotrichea; Strombidiidae.